GGGAGCUCUGAGGCUGGGGGCUGGGGAGACCCGGGGUUGGGGGCAAGGCCCUGCCCUGUCCAGGGCAGUCACUCCAGGUUUCUGAGGCCCUGGUAACUUCUGGGUCCUGGCGAUCGGGACCCUUAUCCCGUCCAUCUGGGAAUGUUUCCGUGGCAGAAACUGAAGGGCUUACUUAGCAAGCCGUGAAGGCCCUCCCGGUAACCCGGCUUCAGGGUCUGGGGACUCAUGUGGGGAAAAAAGUAGUCGAGAUUGGUACAGAGGGCCUGGUUCUGGGAGACCAGCCACCUGGAUGUGGAGUGACUGCUACUCAAGUGCGUUCCUCCUGGGCCUGGGUUUUCCCACCUGUGUAUUCUGAAGGAGAGUGGCACCUUCCAGUCCAGUCUAGACCUUCAGGGCAGACUGCCCAGCGGCUGGAGUGCAGAAGCACUUCUUGGGGCCCCGAGCACUGACCGAGCUGUUCCUCAUCUGGCAGUGAAGUAGAUGUUCUUUCCGCCGGCCCACAUCUCUUGUCCGUGAAAUACAGCUCUUUCUGCUCAUAAGGUUGAGAUAAGGUAAUGCGUAUAAACGGUAAUAGGGUUUUUAAAAAUUGAGCCACGAGCAGUUUCUACCUCAGGCCUUUGCUCUUGUGAUUUCUUUGGCUGUGUCACUCUUCUGGCUUUGUCUGGGCCAGGCUUCCCAUCCAGGUCCCAACUCUGCUCCUUUUUCAGCCUGGCUGUAGGUGUGCACACUAAGAAUUUCCUGCACUGGUCCUCCCUUCUUGGGGCUGAUCUGCCCUUGGAGCACCAACCGCCGUCUCACAUUACGUCCUACAUAUAGCUCCCCCCAGUAUUGGCUCCAGGAGAGCAGGAGUCUUGUGGGUUCUGCUGAGCAUCCCCAGUUCCUGGGCUAGGGCCUGGCACACAGUUGGCCAAGCAUGGAUUUCUAUCUGUGGAAUGAACAUGACAGAGACAUGGUCCUGUCUGGCUCUUCAAGGCUGCCUUGCUACCACCGAGGGGGCAUAUCGUGGCUUUCUCAGUUGCUCGGUAAGUCCCGCCGGAUGCCCUAGGCGCCUGUAGGUCUGGUGGGAUGCUGGCUCUGCUUCAAGCUUUUCCUGGAGUUUAGGGAGCUGGGUGAGGCCCAACGCUCCCAGCCAAAGUUCUAUGGUCCUUUGACCUGUAGGGAUUCUGGAAGCCUUCAGACCGUGUGCGGAUAGCUUUUUCAGCCUGGCAUGGGAUUUUGAAGACCUGGGUUGCACUCCUAACCCUGAUUUCAGUUCCACUGGAAUUUUGAGUUCCGUUCUUUCUGAGCCUCUCUUCUCUGUAAAGAGGGGACAGGACAGGACUCUGUCCUUUGGAAAGCUGCUGGAGGUCUUAGCGCUGAUAGCCGGGGAUGUCCAUUCUGCCCCAAGUGUGUUUUCAAACAAAAGCGCUGAAGCAUGUGUGUGUUGGGGGACGUAGGAGGCUAGCUGUUGAACCGGUUCAGUGGGGUUUGAACUGUGGGCCGCAGUCCGUUGCUGCCUAUGGAAUCCAUUUAGAGGCUCGUAACCAGCAUGAAAACACGAAGAAAAAGUCCCCUUGGUUUUCCGCAUUUCCAAGUGAAUCUUAGAAUUAGCUUGCCCAGUUCUUCCCAGAAGCCUCCACGUGUUGCUGCUGGGACUGCCCGGGGAGGGCUGACACCUUGAUGUUUGCUCCUGCAAUCUACUAGGCAUGCAUCUGUUGAAAGUUCUGUCAGUGUUUACUCCGCAAACUCGCAAUCCCUUUUAAGUCCCACUUGCAAAUAGCUUGUUGCAGAGAAGACGGUCUUAAAACACUGAGUGUGUGUUUGGCUGCCUUGUCCAGCGUCAUUUUUUCUUACUCUUUAUCUGUAGCUUGGUUUGGAUUCCUGAGCUGGACAAUCAUAUGGUCUGUGACUGAUGCCCACUUUGCUUCUUCCCGGCCCUACCCUCUCUUUGCCAUCCAGUCAUUCCUCCAUUCUCUCUCUACCCACCCCGCCUUGUAGCAUGAGCGCCUCUGCUCUGACGGCGGACACGUGGACAUCGCGCACAUGCUCAGCUGUUCCUGAUCUCAGUGUGAAGGUUUUACCACCUCUACUGUUGAGUGUGGCUCAGGGUCAGGGCUGUUGGAGACCACCAUUUAUCAGAAGAACAUUCCCUUGUAUUCCUAGUUCAUUAGGUUGUGUGUGUGUGUGUAUUUUAAUGAAAGAUGGUAGAAUUUUAUCAAAUGCCCUUUUUGCAGUGAGAUGAUUAUUUGAUUUUUCUCUUUCAAUCUAAUAAGUGAAUUACAUUGAUUUUCUUUGUUUUUUAAAAAAGAUUUUAUUUACUUAUUUAUUUGACAGACAGAGAUCACAAGUAGGCAGAGAGGCAGUUAGAGAGAAGAGGAAGCAGGCUCCCUGCAGAGCAGAGAGCCCAAUGUGGGGCCCGAUCCCAGGACCCCGAGACCAUGACCUGAGCUGAAGGCAGAGGCCCAACCCACUGAGCCACCCGGGCGCCCUGCAUUGAUUUUCUAAUGUUAAAGUAACCCUGAGUUUUCCAGAUCAUCUCAACUUGGUCAUGAUAUUUUAUUCUAUAUAUACAUUGCUGGGUUUGAUUUGCCAAUGUUGUGUUUAGGACUUUUUGUUGUUGAGAGGGGAGAACACCUACAGUUGACAGAAGUGCAGAAUAUGUAAGGAGCUUGUAUGAAUCAGUAAGAAAAAUAAUUAAAAAAUGGGUGAGGGCACCUGGGUGGCUCAGUUUGUUAAGCAGCUGAGACUUGGUUUCAGCUCAGGUCAUGAUUUCAGGGUCGUGAGAUCGAGCCCUGCACUGGGCUCCACGCUCGGCGGGGCAUCUCCUUGAGAUGCCCUCUGUCCCUCUGCCUCCUGCGCACUGGUGCGUGCAGUGUUUCUCUUAAUAAUAAUAAUAAUAAUGGUGAAAGAUUAACAGAGGCUUUUCUAAAAAGGACACGUAAAUGACAAUAAACACAUGGAAAGGAACUUAAUCUCUGUCAGGGAAAUGCAAGUGGGAUACCGUUUGGACCCCAGAAAUGUAAGCCCCAACGUGAGCAAGAGUGGGUAGGGGCGGGCGGCAGUGCGCACCCUCAUCUGCCCCUCGCGGUCUAAGUGGAUAAAACCUCUGUUUGGUUUAUUCAGUUUUUAUUCUGUUUAUUUGUUUCCUUAGUUGGUCUAUUGCUACAGCCACAGCAGGAGCCCUGGACACAGAUGUUUCUGGUGCCGUUCAUUGAGUGGCCACACACCGGGAAGAGCCCGUGUCCAUCAGGAGUAAAAGGGAUGAGUAAAUUGCGGGGUGUGGAGACACGUGAUGGGAUGUAACGCAGGGGGACGGGCUGCCGCUGUCGGCAAGAGCGUUGGUGGGCCCUGCAAACGAUCUUGAACGAAGGAGGCAAGGUAGAAAAGUGCAGACCGUGUUGGAGUACAUGCACGAUUCCAUGCAUAAAAGGCAAACAGGCGGAAUCCCCCUGUAGUGUUUAGGGGUGUGUAUGUGGCUGGUGAGGUUAAAAAGAAGCAAAGUGGAGUUACAGGCGUUACAGCGGGGGAGGGGGAGGCAGACGGUCACCCUAGGAUGCCUGGUCACCCUGAGAUGCCCGUUUGCGUUGCUGAGCUGGGGGAGGGUCACUGUGUGGGUGAUCAAAACUGUCAAGUGCCGUUUUCUCUAACGCCUUUGAAAAGGAAAAAGGACAUCCCGGCUGUAAGUUGUUACUACUUUCUAUAUUUUAAUCUCAGCUGCACCCACACACACACAACCGUACUUCUUACGGGGGCUUGCUGUAAACACUUGGAAGCUGCUUGUGUUCUCUGGAAGGCGCCUUCCUGUUCUGUGAUGGGGCGUUGUCGCUAGCUUAUGUGAGCUUCGUUCCCACAGGGGAGUGCGUGUCGGGGACGCAGCCGGCGUCUCACAGGGAGAGUGGGUUUGGGGCAGCACGGCAGCUCCUUCCCCCCCUGCGGAGGUUCCUCAUCUGUGGGACUAAGAACCUAGCGGGCCGGGGGUCCCCUGCCCCGCCCGCAUGCUAACUAGUCACAGCUGGUCUGAGGGAGGCAGAGGGAAUGCCUGUCCUAAGAUCAUGCACGGUGACAGGCAGAGGCUGGAAGUCAACAGUCACAGGAAAUGGGUCCAUAUGUCUAGAUUUUCAUGACAGUCCAUUGUCUUGCAUUUACGCUCUGUUCAGCUGAGUGGGAUCUGAUCUCUAUACACGUGGAAGGGCUCCUGUGAGGAAGGCGAAACAGCGAGAGAGGGAACACAAGCAGGGGGAGUGGGAGAGGGAGAAGCAGACUCCCCAACAAGUAGGGAGCCCAAUGUGGAGCUCGAUCCAGAACCCUGGAGUCAUGACCUGAGCCGAAGGCAGGGGCUUAACUGACUGAGCCACCCAGACGCCCCUCAAGCCGGCGUUGUAACCCGAGUCUGAAGAUGAAGCCGGGUUGUGCCGAAGACGGUAGCCUGUGCAUCGGCUGGGGAGGUUUGAUGGUAAAGACCACAUGCUCUGCCCUUAGUGACCAUUUCUCUGUCUUCCCACUGUGUCAUUUCCAGAAGCUUCGAAAGCUCAGGGAAGAAAAAAGCACUCUUUCAAAACGAGGGCAGUAACAAUACACCGAACUCCAAAUGCACAGAUCUACCCCCCACCCCGGCCCGUGCUUUUGCUAGGCUCAGAAACCGCCACAAGACAACCCCCCAAAUAAGCAGCCCCGUCUGACCCCCCUGCUCUGGCCCAUGUCAUCCCCAAUCUGUCCCUUUGGUGUGAGAGUCUCCGGGCCGUCGUGGGGCAGCCCUUUGGGAAGCAUCUUUGCUCCCGCUGGGGCGUGUGCUCAGCUCCGAGGCGGGCCAGCCUCGUGCAGCUCUGCCGUGUCCCGCCCCGGCUUCGGUCACCUUCAUCUACCGAUCGCACCGAUUCGCUGACUAGAUAGGAGACUGUGUUUUACUCCUCACCAAAUUCUUCCCGGUCAUACUUUAACUCACUGGUUGGCGUGGCAUUCGGGCUGGACUCCGAGCACCAUUCCCGAACUGGCAUUUCAGUUGAGCCAUCAGGCUAAAUUUGGGUCAGACAUUCCCCGGGCCUGGGAUGCCCCGGAGGCCUUCAGAGACAGAAGCGUGGUUACCUGCGUGUGGUCCGUGGAUCCCUGAUCGCGGCUGUCCCGUGUCUUCCGUUGCCUUGAACUCCGGCCAAGUUGUUCCCUCCGGCUGCAUAGGGCAGCAGCCUAUGCACGUGCUCCGUGAAGAGGCCUCGGAUGGCUGAGGGGCUUUGCAGGUGUGAUGAAGUUGAAGGUCUAGAGAUGGGGAGCCUGGAUUAUCGGGGGGACGUGCAAUGUGAUUGCUGGGGUCUCUAUAACCAGGAGGUGGCCAUGGGCACAUCGGGGGAGCAGACCACAGGAAAAUGCAAGCAGGCUGGGCGCCGUGGCAACCUCUAGACGGGAGCGGCAGAAAGCAUUCCGCCCCCCUCCAAGGCUUCCACAGAACCAGCCCCACCCGCACCUGGAUUGGAGCCCGUUGAAGGCUCAUUCUGGACUUGCAGUCUCCAGAACUACAAGAUGAUAAAUUUGUGUUGCAUUAAAGCCACUGAAUAUGUGGUUGUUCGUUACAGCAGCCUCAAGAAAUCAAUGCAUAUGGUGGUAGCCCCAUAUGUAACUGUUCGAGGAACCGCCAAAGUCUUGCACAAAUGCUGUACUACAUGCAUGCCUACAGCCUGCGGUGUGGUCCGUCCUGUCUGUCUGAGCCAUUUUAGCAGGUGUGAACCCCUGUGGUUUGGAUUUGUACUUCCCUAGUGACUAAUGAGGUUGAGCAUCUAUUUUUUAAAAAAUUUUAUUUACUUGAGAACAGGAGAGAGAGCCAGUAGGGGGAGGGACAGAUGGAGAAGCAGACUCCCUGCUGAGCAGAGAGCAGACAUGGGGCUCAAGUUGGGACCCUGGGAUCAUGACCUGAGCCGAAGGCAGACGCUUCGCCGACCGGCCCCUGAACAUCUUCCCAUGUACUUGUCAGCCAUGUAGGUCUAUUCUCUGGUGAAGUAUCCCCUCAAAUCUCUUAAAAAUUACAGUGUUUUUCCAUAUACCAGGAUAUACUGAUUGGCUUCCUUCUUGAAAUGAACUAGUCCCCUGUUUUAUAUCACGGUAGCUGAGUUUUGCCUGUCUUUACACUGUAGAUAAACGGAAUGCUGUAGCAUCUGGUGUCUUGGUCCUGAUAAUGUCUGCGAGUCAUUCCUACGGGUUCUUCUCCGGGCUCUUCUGUCUCACUGCUGGAUAGCAUCCGGUCGCGGUAACAGCAUCAUUCAUUUAUCCGCUGUGCUGUUUCCGGGCAUCGGAGCGGUGUGCAUUUGGGGGGUCUUACAGACGGCGCUGCUGUGAGCCUGCUCACGCCUGCCUUUCGGGGAGCAGUUCCCCUGGCAUUUUCGCACGGCGGGGAUUGGACCAGGGGGUUCUGUCAUCGGGCAUUUCCCAGGUGACCCUGUUUCCGAUCAGGCAGCCACCACAGUCAUCCUCUAGUCUCUGUGGCACAGGCGAGUGUCGAGGUUGGAAACCUGGACGGGGGAUGGGGUGAGACCGAGGGUCCGCCGGCGUGCAGAUGACUCGGUGAAUGCUCCGCACCACCACAGAAAGCACGUGGCCUCAGCUGUGGCCGGGGAAUUUAUUUAGAGCCGCGACCAUUUCCCUGGGGGGCUGGGGGGAGGGACUCUGUCUGUAACUGGUAGCACUGAGGCGUUCCCGCUGUUGCCAGGUUACCUUUGCUCUCUGUCAAGUGAACCUGCAAAGGACCAGGUGGCAAUGGUGGCCUCAAAGAGCUCUUUCAGGGACAUCCUCAGCCGAGCCCACACCACAGCCAAACCUCUUCUCCAGAUCAGGGACGGAAGCAAAGCAGUGACACGCUGUCUUUCCCCGAAACACUGAGCCCAGCACUUCGUGAUUUGCUUCCACCAGGGGCAGAUACGGUUUUGGCAACCCGGCUGUGGACCAGUUCCCUGUCCUUCCGUCUCCCUGAGGCAACCUGAGUGUUUUAAGUCCUGAAAAUGAUCUUUUCCUGUCAACCACGGGUAUUAAACUCAGGUGCUUACAGGGGCCAGACGUGAUGCUCAGGAGGUCACUCAGUGCUAGAAGGGGGGGUUGGAGCACCUCUCUCUAGAAUUGAGGACCCUUGCCCCCGUGCCCAGGGGCUCUGGGGGAAGCUGAAAGUCUGGCCUUUAUGUGCCCGCCCUUUUUAAGUCAGAAAAAGCAGACCCAAUAAAGCAUUUUCCCUUAGGCCAGCA
Molecule: long non-coding RNA, 7196 nt
Organism: Mustela lutreola (European mink)
Lineage: Eukaryota; Metazoa; Chordata; Mammalia; Carnivora; Mustelidae
Exons: 2
Source: RefSeq, a predicted model, not a curated record